This is a long non-coding RNA of Nematostella vectensis (starlet sea anemone), 1219 nucleotides long. RefSeq lists it as uncharacterized. The transcript has 3 exons. The record is from RefSeq and is a predicted model, not a curated record. Lineage: Eukaryota; Metazoa; Cnidaria; Anthozoa; Actiniaria; Edwardsiidae.
AUAUAUGGGAAAUGGGAAACCAUUGCUAUGUUGUAUUGUUUUCUUUACUGUGACGUCAUAGCCCAAAUUUUGGCAGUUCAUCAAUCUAAGCGAGUAGAGAGCUCAACAGCGAAAUCUUCUCAACCGUGUGCUCAAUCGCUUUGGAAAUACCGAGCUAUAAGCACUGCCUGUUCUUUAUUGGAAUGAACUUAAUCACCGACUAAAUGUGCAGGCUACAGUACUCUACGGCUUCAUGUGAACAAAUUGUAUGAUUCAAAGGAUAAAAGAUGAGAGACCUUGCCAGCAAAACACCGUGAAUACGAGUCUCCUACUUCGACGUGAAGAUGUCUUGUACAGACUGGUUUUAUUUAUUCAAGAUAUUCGAUUUCUAUACGUUCAGUUCAUAUCAUCUGAUAUUCACAAAGCAGCAAUCAUGAAAGACACUUGCAAGAAUUUCGAACGACGGACAGAACUGCACGCCACGUGCUAAAAAGAAAUUGUUCGAAGCAGCUGAAUUUGUAAACCAACUUUUAUAGGCAAAAAAUUUGUGAUGGAAAAGAACAGCUCUAGGAUAUCAGAAGAGAUGAAACUUAAGUUGGUCAACUGAGCAGUCUCCCGUUUGUACAAAAUGAUAUCCAGUUAACUAAAACAAGGCAUGCGAGGCGGCAGGCUAGUUCUGGAAAUUUGCUCCCCGACUAAACGGGGAAUACUAAAACGGGAACAGGGUUAGGAAUCAUGUUUUCCUGAUUAUCGGAGCCCGUGCUCCGAGCAAUGAAGGUCUCAGCGGUUGUCAUGGCAUUGCAUUCUUCUUAUUGUGUCCAGGCUACGACCGCGCUCAGGAAACCGACCGUUUGUCAGGACCCUAGCUAGAAGAACGAUAAAUUUCGACUUUGCAGCGACAAAUUGCAGGAAAAUUCUGGCCUUUUGAAUUAUUUUCUACGAAAGAUGUGUUAGAAAUUAUUCUUCUAUGGCAUAUAGGAUUUUGAAAGCUGUGCGUUUUCUGUCGGAAAAGUUGCCUCGAAGAGUAGUGGAAGUUGUGAUUGCCGUGGACCUUCCUACCCUGUUGUAUUUUAUUACGAGUGGGGAGGAGGUGAACAGAGAUGAAGGAGGAAAAUCGCGUAAAUUGUUAUGAAUCACGGCUAUAACAGAACCAGCUCAAUCUACGACAACAACUUCAAUAAAUUGGCUUUAUUACAGAUAUAUUCAUUACUCAAAUUAAAGAUAAUAUUCGAUACACGAA